This is a non-coding RNA of Heterocephalus glaber (naked mole-rat), 2849 nucleotides long. The record is from RefSeq and is a predicted model, not a curated record. Lineage: Eukaryota; Metazoa; Chordata; Mammalia; Rodentia; Bathyergidae.
GAAACAGCAGGGGAUAAGUCUGUGUGGUGGCAAGUGGUAGAGGAACAGUGUGGGGAAGAGGAUCCUAUCUCUGGCCUAAAGGCCACAUCGGCUGGAGACCUCUGUGGCAUCCUCAUGAUACAUUUCUCCUGGUCCCUGCCUCCUUUCCUGCCUGCUCAUUUCCCACCCAGUUCCUCAUUUUCCACCUAAGUAAAUCCAAAUGUCCCUGCCCUUCCAAAUCUGAUUCAGGACAUACCAUCCUUCAGGCAGGCUUCUACUCUGCUGAUCACCACAUGUUGACCCCUCCAUGUUUCCCUCCCUCCCACAUUUUUGGAGGACGUCAUGUGUAUGCUCAGGACUGUAAUUACAACAGUGGAUGAGUCUUGACCCUACCUUUGAAGGGCACCCCACCAAGUGGGGCAAGGAGACCUGCACAAAGUCGGUCACCACCAGUGGGAAUGGUGAGGAGACAGAAAGGAGGGCUCCAUAAUGUCCCUCAACUCUGUAAGUCUGAGUGGGGUACACAUUCAUGCUUUAGCUUGCUUUUCUUUUUUUUUUGGUACCAGGGAUUGAACUCAGGACCUUGCUCUUGAAAGGCAGGCGUGGUGCCACUGAGCUAAAUCCCCGGCCUAACUUGCUUUUCUUUAGAAUGAAUGCAUUGUUCCAUUUAUUUACAUUUCUUCAUUUCUCUUAAAAUAUCUAUAAUGUAGCUCACAGCCCUUCUCUCUCACUACUGGGAUUAGGUCUGAUUUGCAAGUAGUGUGCCCUGGAGGGAGGGCCACGCUUGGCUCCAGGGGAAGAGACAACUGAUCUGAAGAGUUAACACAGGCAGAGCACCCCUUCCUUGUCAUGAAGAAUUAACUGAGCCAGGGAGCUUUGAGGGCCCUGUCCAUCCUCCCAGGACAGGUUCCUCUCCUACUGGCUCAUGCUUCCAUCCAAAAACAGCACUCAUCAACACUGCUGCUCCCGAGACUGGGCAUGAGGGGCACCAAGACCCUCAGAGGAGGGCACCUAGGUCUGAAAUCCAGGGCCAUGUUCUAGCAUGGUCACUGCUCAGAAAGUCACUCAACGAUGCAGUUUUAGUUCUGUCUUGUCACUCUAUACUGGAAAUACAGAAUGGCAGGAGCCGUGGGCUGGGAACAGACAGCUUGGCUUCCAGUCCCAGUUUUGCCAUUGCCUAGGUGCCUGUGGAUGCUACCUCCCUUGUAGAGCGUUGUUUCUUCCUAACACAAGGCUCUUGGUGCCUCUCCCUGCCUCACUUGGGGCCUGAGUAGAGACCUUCCAAGAGGUGGGAAAGGGCUCAGUGAAGUGAUUAAGGCCAUGUGGGAGUGAGCACUACUACCAGUGUAUGGGGGAUGGGCCAGCAAGCAUUUCCAGAGGGUUCCUUGGUUGUUCAGUCACAAGACAUACAGGCAGCAGGAAGGAUGGAAAUGCCAUGGGAUAGCUGGGAGUGCUACACAGGGGGAGCAAUGGACUGAUGGGUAAUAGCAGACUUUCACUAGUGCUUACUAUGAGUCUGGUGAUGUUUCAAAAGAAGCUAUAAAGGGCUAAGAACAUGUGCAGUCUGUGAGGCAAGUACUAUUAUCAUCCCCACUUCACAGAUGAGGAAACUAUCAGAGAUUAAAGUAACUUGUCCAAGGCCAUGGAAGCCUGGCCAUCCGGCUCCAUGUCUGCAUUUAAACCAUUACGCAAUACUGCCCUGUGUUUUUCAGCGGCCAACCAGCUGGGCUCCUGCCAGUCUUCAUUUGAAGGGCUCUGAGCUUUGUGCUCAGGUGUCAAAUGUCCCAGUAGAGACUGGGAGGACAGAUGCUAGUGCUUGCUUUUGUCAAGUGACCUGGCUUCUCAUACUAGUUCUUCUAGCAAAUUGUUGUGUAACUCUAAACAAAUCUUUGGGUUUGGCUUUCUUGGCUACAGUCAUUUUGGUGUCACAUGAUCUUAGCUUGGGGUUAUCUACAAAUGAAGCAAUAAUUAUAGUAACAUCCAACACAGAUUGAUUGCUUAUUAUGUGCUAAUAAUGUUUAAUAUCUUAUAUCAUUAUCUCAUGAAACCAUAUCCAAUGGGUAAUUCCAUGUAUUUGGGGACAGUUGGGACUUAAACCCAGGCAGCUGAACUCAAAACACUUAAUUUUAAUCCUGUUAUCAUCUUGCCCCUGUAACUGAAAAUCUUUGGAGCCCAUCACCCACCUCAUGAUGACAUCAUAGAGCCCACUAUGAUUCUUUCUCAAGGAUUAUUAACUCUAAUAAUCAAAGUUAACAAAGCUGCUCAAUUUGGGAAAAAUAGCACAGGCUGUGAGGGGAAAAAAAGCUCAUAAUAGAGCUGAUGGAAAAAUUGUAAAAAUGUGCAAACAAUGCCUUGUGAGGCAGCAAGGUCCAGAGGAUCAAAUAACAGAUGGGCAUGCUGUGGAGAACAUGAAGUGGUAAACACACCAGUUGAGGAAGUGGGUACCCACUGUAUGCUAAACCGUUGAGGACCCCAAUGAUCUCAUCAGAUGCUCACCAGAACCCUAAGACACAGGAUUGGAUAGUUUUAUGCUGAGGCAAGAGCACUGAAAUUUCAUGAGGGAGAGGAAACUGUCUAGAGCUAGGAGAAAGCAGAAGUAGAGUUUGGGCCAAGGACUGCAGGGAACAGAGCUUUGCCCACCACAGCCUGCUACACCAACUGCGAUGUGGUGUGGUGGGUGAUAGUGUUACCUCCUCCUGCUGGACAAGAUGAUCCCAAGAAGAGGAAGACCAGAGGGUGUUCUUCAUCGUACCAGCCAUUCUCCUUCCUCCGAAUCGCUGUAGCCAAACACACAAGAUGGGGGGACAGGGAGGGAGGCAGAUAAAUCAAUGACACAAAAGGCAGGAUAAUUAUCACUAAGUAUACAAUAU